UAAUAAUAAAUGAAUGUAAAAUUUUCCUAAAGGAUUGUUUUUUUUUUUUGGUAAUUUUUGUUACGUAAAAAACCUUAUCGAAAUCGAUGAUACGAUAAUUUUACACACCGUCUUCGGAUAAUAAAAUCACAGCCUGCUAAUAUAAUACACUUAUUCAAAACUAUUUAAAUUUUUUUUUAAUUUUUCUUUUUUAAUAAAAUACCCUAAUUAAAUAUUUGUACGUUAUUUUUUGUAUUGAUUUUUUUUGCAUGCAUUUUUUUUUUUUUUUUUUUUUUUGUGGAAUUGGAAUACCCGUAAACGUUAUAAUAUAAUAUUGUAAUUCAAUUUUUAUCAGCGAAAAAAAAAUUGCGAUUAUUUCUUACAUACCUACUCGGUUAUAACUAUAGAAUAAUAAUAAUAAAAAAAACAAAAUUAAACGUUAAAUUAAAAUUGAUAAGACGCGUUUAAUCGAUAAUAAUAAUAAUUACAAUUGUCACAAAAAGUGUACAUAGGAAAACGACGUCGGAUAACAACCGUCAAGCGAUGACUAUUAUUAUUAUUAUAACCGAAUGGUAUUUUUAGUAGACCUAGUAGACAAUCCAUCGAACGUAAAAUACAAAAAAAAACCUCAAAAUAAGAUUUAUUUUACCUUUUUGAGUUCGUCAUUAAUUUGAGCAAAUAUUUUCCUGAAUACAUACCUAUAUAUGUAUUAUUGAAUAUUACCCAACAGUCAAAAUCCAAAACGGACCGCCUAAAAGGCUCCCCCAACUAUAGGUACAUACCUAUAAAAUAAUUAUCGCGUGAUAAAUAAAUAAAUAAAAAAUCGUUUUGCUUAUCGCGUGCUGCGUUUUUAUUGCCGCGUAAUAUCGAAAAUAAAAAAAACCCGUAAAAGUCCAUUGUCAAAAUAGACUUUUAGUAAA
This is a non-coding RNA of Cinara cedri, 899 nucleotides long. The record is from the annotation of a GenBank genome assembly. NCBI's taxonomy places the organism in Eukaryota, Metazoa, Arthropoda, Insecta, Hemiptera, Aphididae.